Long non-coding RNA from Venturia canescens, 517 nucleotides. RefSeq lists it as uncharacterized. Lineage: Eukaryota; Metazoa; Arthropoda; Insecta; Hymenoptera; Ichneumonidae. The transcript has 3 exons. The record is from RefSeq and is a predicted model, not a curated record.
ACUAUCCGAACUUCGGCAAAUACAGUAGGCUUGGCCGUCUUGUUUUAGAAGCGUAGCGAUUUUGCUUUUCCUUUCUGGCAGCAUAAAUUGCUUAGCAAUUUCUUCUUUCUGUGAAAAAAAAACACGUCAAUAAUUCAACGCCAUCUUGAAUUUCACGCCAUCUACUGGUAAUCGGUGAAAGUGCUAUGCAAGUCAUGGCGUGUCGUGCAAACGGGAGUUGCAGGAGACCCAGGAGGCUAAUCUUAUAGAUCUCGGGACGAAUCCAACCGAAAAGACCUCAUGAAUUUCCGUUCGCAAAACAGUUUUACCGCUAAAAAAUGAACGAUAAUGCGAACUGCAAAUUCGUUUAUCACUCAAUUCAGCGACUAUCAUAAAAGUUUUGUUGUAAUGAAUACAUCAUCAAAAAAAGUAAAAUGUUAAUGAAACUAAUAACUAACACAUAACGAUAAAAAUGAUGUUAAAUUUAAAAAUGGAAGAGGGGUAAACAAAACGUGGAAUAAUUACGCAAGAUUUGUAC